AAACUCUGGAGAAUCUCUUAGAUGAGUGCCGACGGUGCAAGGCUCCAAGCCGCAUGUUCCCAAUCAGCGGAACGGCUUUGGAAGCUGAAUCUCUCAGGCAAAAGGACAGAGACGG
This 115-nucleotide non-coding RNA is filed under the name human gut metagenome. RNAcentral describes it as "Glycine riboswitch". It matches the Rfam family "Glycine riboswitch aptamer", at positions 9 to 86 of the family's 94-position model. Rfam says of the family: This family represents the bacterial glycine riboswitch. Glycine riboswitches usually consist of two metabolite-binding aptamers domains with similar structures in tandem. The aptamers cooperatively bind glycine to regulate the expression of downstream genes. The record is from RNAcentral.